UAACACGUGGAUAACCUACCUAUAAGACUGGGAUAACUUCGGGAAACCGGAGCUAAUACCGGAUAAUAUUUUGAACCGCAUGGUUCAAAAGUGAAAGACGGUCUUGCUGUCACUUAUAGAUGGAUCCGCGCUGCAUUAGCUAGUUGGUAAGGUAACGGCUUACCAAGGCAACGAUGCAUAGCCGACCUGAGAUGGUGAUCGGCCACACUGGGACUGAGACACGGCCCAG
Molecule: ribosomal RNA, 229 nt
Filed under: uncultured Staphylococcus sp.
Lineage: Bacteria; Bacillati; Bacillota; Bacilli; Caryophanales; Staphylococcaceae
Description: partial 16S ribosomal RNA
Rfam family: Bacterial small subunit ribosomal RNA
Source: RNAcentral